This 497-nucleotide ribosomal RNA is filed under the name uncultured bacterium. Its description in RNAcentral is "partial 16S ribosomal RNA". It matches the Rfam family "Bacterial small subunit ribosomal RNA", at positions 28 to 507 of the family's 1533-position model. The record is from RNAcentral.
GAUGAACGCUGGCGGCGUGCCUAAUACAUGCAAGUCGAGCGAACGGACGAUAAGCUUGCUUCUCUGAUGUUAGCGGCGGACGGGUGAGUAACACGUGGAUAACCUACCUAUAAGACUGGGAUAACUUCGGGAAACCGUAGCUAAUACCGGAUAAUAUUUUGAACCGCAUGGUUCAAAAGUGAAAGACGGUCUUGCUGUCACUUAUAGAUGGAUCCGCGCUGCAUUAGCUAGUUGGUAAGGUAACGGCUUACCAAGGCAACGAUGCAUAGCCGACCUGAGAGGGUGAUCGGCCACACUGGAACUGAGACACGGUCCAGACUCCUACGGGAGGCAGCAGUAGGGAAUCUUCCGCAAUGGGCGAAAGCCUGACGGAGCAACGCCGCGUGAGUGAUGAAGGUCUUCGGAUCGUAAAACUCUGUUAUUAGGGAAGAACAUAUGUGUAAGUAACUGUGCACGUCUUGACGGUACCUAAUCAGAAAGCCACGGCUAACUACGUG